GAAGUCUUGGGUUUUCAUUCUUUCCUCUACUCCGCCGCUUGCCUGCCUUGCCCUUACUCUCAGACUCUCUGUCUCACUCUCAUCUCAGUUCUGGUUCUCGGCUUACUGCUCCACUGUCGUCAUUGGUUCUUGGCUCACUGAAAGAUUCUAGUGACAAAAGAACAGUAAUGAGAGAGAUAGUGACGGUCCAAGUUGGAGGUUUUGCAAACUUCAUUGGCUCUCAUUUCUGGAAUUUUCAGGUAGAGUUGUAUUCUUUGUUCAUUAAUUUGUGAAAAUUGGUUCUUAUUUUUGUUUUUGAGAUUUUUUUGCUUAACAUGUGUGAUAAAUUUUUUGUGCUUAAUGGUCAAGGAUGAGUUACUUGGGUUGGGUGCGGAUCAUGCUAGUGAUUCAGUAUUCAGGAAUCUUCAUCAAUUUUUGAACAUGGAUGUGCUCUACCGUAAUGGUGAAACACAAAAGGGCAUCCUUACCUAUACUCCUCGCUUGGUUUCCAUAGACAGUCAAGGGUCCCUUGGAUCUAUGAGUUCACAUGGUACGCUGUAUGAUGAGGGUUCAUCAGCACCAUUAGAAGUUACCACAUGGACAGGCAACAUUUCCACUUGUGCAUCUGAACCUCAUAAGAAGAAUUUGUUCUUGCAAAGUUUGUAUGAAGAAGGUUUAGAAGAUUUGAAGCUCACUGGCGUCGACAAGAGAGACACUCGAAAAGAAAUUCAGGAUAAGGACAUAGUUGAAUGUUUAGAAAAUAGUGUCCAGUUUUGGACAGACUUCUCAAAAGUGCACUAUCAUCCACAGAGUUUAUAUGAAUUAUGCGGAUUAUGGAUUGACACAGAGGAAUUUGACAAUUAUGGAGCUGGAAGGGAUAUCUACUCUGGGGGUCUACGUGGGGAGGAAAUAAGUGAGAGGCUUCGUUUUUUUGUAGAAGAGUGUGACCAUAUUCAGGGUUUUCAAUUCAUUGUUGAUGAAUCAGGAGGCUUCUCUGCUCUAGCUGCAGAUUUUUUGGAGAGUAUUGCAGAUGAGUACAGUAAUACACCAGCUUUGCUCUAUUCUGUGAGAGCUCCUAGUUCUCACAUGAACCCAAGAAGCCAGAAGCAAGCAAUUUCCAGGAAUAUUCAUGACGCAAUUUCAUUUUCAAAACUAUCAUCUUUGUGUGAAUUGAUCGUGCCAAUUGGUUUACCCUCCCUAAGCAGAAGUAAAGCUUCCACAUACCUAUGCAUUGAAGAUAAGAAGCCUUACCACAGUAGUGCAAUUUAUGCUGCUGCAUUACACUCCAUUAGUCUUCCCUUCCGCAUGGAACCACUUGGACCCACUGCAGACUCUUGUUAUGUUUCUGGUGCUGUUGAUGUUUAUGAGCUUGUACAGAUGUUAGCAGGGCAUGAUAGACGGAAUACAGCAACCAUUCUUGAUGCUGCAAUGCCUGCGCCUCCUUUAUCAGGGAAACAUGUUGAGCAAUCCUUGUUAAGGAAUUUGCAGCCAUUGACACCAGAGAUAGCAGAUAGGGAAGAUUUACAGGCAGUGGAGUCCAUGACUGUUCAUGGAGCCCUUGGGUCAGGAGGUUCCCAGGCUUCAGUCUCUGAAGUGACGGAUAGACUUAAUGAGGCUUAUGAACAUUCAUCAACACCGCCAAAGUUCUGCCAUCUAUCAGUUGCUGUUUGCCCUCUUCCCAUACCUUUGCCAUUUCCUUCAAUAUUUGGGAAUCUGGUUGGCCAACGUGGUGAGCUCUUGAGCAACCCAAUCCCAGGUUCCUUAUCAAGGGGAUCGCUUGAUGUCAAUUCCAUCCCUAUGGCAGCUAGACUCCGUUCAAGCAGUGCUAUCUUGCCAUUUUUGGAGAACAGAUUGUUAAAUCUUCGUAGAUAUGGAAUUGAACGAGGAGCACCUGGGAUGGAGUUACUCAGGAGCUGGGGCUUUGAAAGGGAUGAAUUAGAAGACAUUGAAGAAUCACUAUGUAAAAUGGUUGCAACUCUUGAUGAUCGAUAUCAGCUUUCCUCAGACUCGGAUUAAGUUCUUUGAAAUUGUAAACUAUUCACUCAUCCUUCUUUUCCUCAGCUGAGAAUACUACUUUGUUACACCCUCUUUUUCCCUCAAAGAUAACUUUGUAAAGCUGGUUACUGUAGUAACUUUGUAUGGGAUUUAUUUGUAUGGGAUGGCUAUAGAUGCAGGAAAAAAAGAAAAAAAAAAUUGUAUGUAUAGGGAUGAAUUGAAGAACUAUAAUUCAGAGCAACAAUGGGAAAGCAGCAGUUUCUGCUGCUGCUGCUUUCUGGUUUGUGGU
Molecule: unclassified non-coding RNA, 2263 nt
Filed under: Hevea brasiliensis (rubber tree)
Lineage: Eukaryota; Viridiplantae; Streptophyta; Magnoliopsida; Malpighiales; Euphorbiaceae
Source: RNAcentral